RNAcentral lists this unclassified non-coding RNA (329 nucleotides) under soil metagenome. RNAcentral describes it as "partial contains 5.8S ribosomal RNA, internal transcribed spacer 2, and large subunit ribosomal RNA". The stretch from base 1 to 120 matches the Rfam family "5.8S ribosomal RNA", at positions 35 to 154 of the family's 154-position model. The record is from RNAcentral.
GAUGAAGAACGUAGCGAAAUGCGAUAAGUAAUGUGAAUUGCAGAAUUCAGUGAAUCAUCGAAUCUUUGAACGCACAUUGCGCCCCCUGGUAUUCCGGGGGGCAUGCCUGUCCGAGCGUCAUUACAACCCUCAAGCUCAGCUUGGUGUUGGGCCCCGCCGCCCCGGCGGGCCCUAAAGUCAGUGGCGGUGCCGUCCGGCUCCGAGCGUAGUAAUUCUUCUCGCUCUGGAGGUCCGGUCGUGUGCUCGCCAGCAACCCCCAAUUUUUUUCAGGUUGACCUCGGAUCAGGUAGGGAUACCCGCUGAACUUAAUCAUAUCAAUAAGCGGAGGA